RNAcentral lists this long non-coding RNA (215 nucleotides) under Theobroma cacao (cacao). RNAcentral describes it as "long non-coding RNA (TCAC_LNC002896)". Lineage: Eukaryota; Viridiplantae; Streptophyta; Magnoliopsida; Malvales; Malvaceae. The record is from RNAcentral.
AAAAGAAAUUAUAGAGUUGGUAUGAACCACUCUACCGAUCCGGUUACCUCGAUGUGAGGAAGAAGAGAUAGGAAAUCUCACCUUUUUGGAUAUGGAUUGGAAUGAAGUUCUGCAGGGUACGAUGUUAACCAAACAAGACAUCGGAGUAAAAUUCUACUCUCUUAUCUCUUUUUUAUUCAUUUUUUUUUAUAUUUGUAACUUCAACUCUCUUCCAC